GAUUAACGCGAAGAACCUUACCAGGGUUUGACAUCGGAGGCACCGGCGUGAAAGCGUCGUUCCCGCAAGGGACCUCUGGACAGGUGUUGCAUGGCUGUCGUCAGCUCGUGUCGUGAGAUGUUGGGUUAAGUCCCGCAACGAGCGCAACCCUCACCCCAUGUUGCCAGCGGAUCAUGCCGGGAACUCUUGGGGAACUGCCUGGGUAACCGGGAGGAAGGUGGGGAUGACGUCAAGUCAGCAUGGCCCUUACGCCCUGGGCUACAAACAUGCUACAAUGGGCGGCAGACAAAGGGAUCCGAGACCGCAAGGUGGAGGCAAUCUCAAAAAUCCGCCCCCAGUUCAGAUCGCAGGCUGCAACUCGCCUGCGUGAAGUCGGAAUCGCUAGUAACCGCAGAUCAGCUAAGCUGCGGUGAAUACGUUCCCGGGCCUUGUACACACCGAAUCACUAGU
RNAcentral lists this ribosomal RNA (450 nucleotides) under uncultured bacterium. RNAcentral's name for it is "bacterial SSU rRNA". It matches the Rfam family "Bacterial small subunit ribosomal RNA", at positions 954 to 1402 of the family's 1533-position model. The record is from RNAcentral.